UCUCCAUGGAAAUGGCUGAGGCCCAAACAAAGUCAGCUUUCUUGGGGAAGGGAGGGCUGACCCAUCAGCAAAGAGUCUCAGCUAUGUGCUGUGGCAUUUCAACAAGGAACCAUGUCACUGGCAUCCCAUCUGGGUGAGGGGAGUGGCUAGGGUAAUUAGCUGGCAGCCAAGGGCAGGCCGGCUGGGAGGGUCUAAGAACAAGACUCAGUGUCCAGACUGCAAGAGACUUCAGAGUUCAUCUGGGACGCAGGAGGGACAGGACUUGCCCAAGGCCACACACCAGUCUCAGGUCUUGCCUUAGGCAUUGCUCCUUCUGGAAAGCACCCGACCCCACCCCUGUUCUGCAGGGCUGUGUCAGGUAUGCCUCUGUGAUUUGAUUUAUCUUAUUAAUUAUCAUCCUGUCCUCUAAUUGAUUAUUUGUCUGUUUCCUCCUCUAGAUUGCAAGCUUCUGCAAAGAUAUGGAACUUAUUUGUUUUACUCACUGUCCUGUCUCCAAGUAUUUAAUAUAACAGAGACUUACUGAAUAUUGGAAUGGAUGAAUGAAAAUCGUGUCUAGCACAGUGUCAUACUGAUUGCAGAUGAGUUAACUAAAAAGUUAACAUUUACUAGAAGAUGGUAUUUCUUCAUUGUGGUUUGGCCUGAUUUUAUUGGUGGAUCCUGCUGACAACGUUAUAUACUAAUAUUAAAAUGAUAGGCUGAGCAUGGUAGCUCACACUUCUAAUCCCAGGACUUUGGGAGGACAAGGUGGGAGGGUUGUUUGAGCUCAGGAGUUUGAGACCAGCCUGGAUAAUGUAGUGAGAUUCCGUCUCCCAAGGCAAAACAAACCCAAAAGGGGAGCAUAUUAUUGCUCUUUUAAAUAUAUGCCCUGACUAUGAUGUUGCUACAAAAAUAAGCCUGAUCUGGAAGGAGACAGAACCAGUUUUCAGUCCUGAUUCUCUCCUUCCUGGUUGUAUUGGUUGGUUAAUCUCUUUGAGCCUCAAAUCCUUGAGUAGAAAAAUGGGAAUAAUAUAACCUGCCUUGUGGGUUCUAUGUAAUAAGUGAAUGAAAUAAUAUCUGAAAGGCACUUAGUAUGGGGGCUGGCAAAAAUAAGUACUUAAAAAUGUUAGUCAUGAUUAGUAUUACAGUAAGGAUAAUAAACACUACUUUGCUUGGCAACUAGAUGCUUGACAGACAGUAGCUUAUAUUAUUACUAUUAUUAUAAAGGAAUGCUGGAGUUUUAUUGUAAUGACUAUGAGCUGAAUUGGCAGGAAGCUGCUCUUUAGAGACUCAGGGAAGCAGGAGCCAGUGCUGGGAAGGCUCUUCCUCUUGUUUCCUAGAGGCAGAGAAAGAGUGGUCAGUUCGGAUUGCACCAGAUCGAAGGAGAGCUUUGAAAGGGAGUCACUGAACGGGUAGCCCCUUCUGGCAACUUACUUCCUGGGACAAAGCACAGCAAGCACUUGGAGAGGCCUUUGUUGAGUAGCUUGGGAUCUUUCCUCCUGCCAACCUGCAGGGAAUAAAACAUGGCCCAGGGCAGACUUUGGAAUUGCAUGGGGUGAACCGGGUAAGGGUGCUUAAGGGAGAACUUUACUCGGGAAAGGUAGUAUUUGUGAAUUUCUAUUGAAACCUCAUGCACACAUCUUUGUAACAAGCAUUAUAAAUGUCAGGAGGCUCAACCACCAGUUUGAAGGCAUUUCGCCUCUAACCUGAGGCUUCUAAGGACUGCU
Molecule: long non-coding RNA, 1703 nt
Filed under: Callithrix jacchus (white-tufted-ear marmoset)
Lineage: Eukaryota; Metazoa; Chordata; Mammalia; Primates; Cebidae
Description: lncRNA (ENSCJAG00000073035.1)
Source: RNAcentral